This is a small nuclear RNA of Echinops telfairi (small Madagascar hedgehog), 106 nucleotides long. NCBI's taxonomy places the organism in Eukaryota, Metazoa, Chordata, Mammalia, Afrosoricida, Tenrecidae. The record is from RefSeq and is a predicted model, not a curated record.
GAUGGCUCCUAACAACAACAACAACAACAACAACAACAACAAACAGAGAUUAGCACGGUCCCUGCUCAAGGAUGACACCCAAAUCCGUGAAGGGUUCUAUUUUUAU